UGCCGAGAAACGAAGACUUGCCCGCGCCAGUAGGCGCCGGCCCCUCUUCCCAAGGACGCUUCCACCGGCCGGCUGGUGACCGUCCCUCCUUCCUCCCUCGGUCCCUUUGCGGUUUUUGCAACAGCGGGCCGGCCACAUCCAGGACUUCCCUUGGCCUGUGGGACACUUCCUCCCUGUGGCGAUCCCCGGGGGGAGGGGGGGUUCUGGGGAAACGGGAGGGAGGUCCGAUUCACCGAUUCACGGUGGGAUGUAUGGCCCGGCCAGUCCUGCGAUCCCUGGGGCUCCUUCCCUUAGGCCCCGCCCCCAAAUUCCCAGAUUCCCUCCCUUCCUGCUCCUCAGGUUAAAGUGCUGCACCCACUCCCCUCACCCCAUCAGCGGCUGCUUCUCUUUCUGGGUGGCAGACCAGAGGUCCACCUUUUCCCUCCAGAUUCAGAUCUCUCGGGGUCACCCCAGACCCCCGGUUUCUCUUCACUGAGCCCGUACCAGUCUAUGACUUAAACAUCUUUAAGGCUCACACCCUUCUGCCACCUGCUGAGCGCUGGUCCCAGCUGUCCCAUCUUAGCAGCCUCCGGAUGGCGUUCCCCACCCAGCAGCCACCCCCACCAGCACUAUCACCCUGAUGCUUUAGCCCAAGACCCCCUUCCCAGCAGUGGUCACCAGCUCCAAUGCCGGACACGGACCUCAUGUGUCCAGGCCCAGCCCAGCAGCCACCUGUGUCUGGUGGCGCUAGAGCCCUCCCAAGGAGACUGCAGAGGGAAGAUGGCGCCACGCCAAGCCCACGUCUCCAGAAGCUUCUAGUGCUCACACGGGAGUAUGCAGACUAUCUGCCUGCCCUGUCUUUAAAGCCACAGCCCCAAUGCUCUGCACCACCUGGCCCAGCGACCCCUAGAUCACUCUAAGUCACUGUCGACAAUCAGCCUGCGCUAGCCUCCCUGGAUGGGCUGAAGCGGGGCCGUGUGCCCAGCUCCAGGCACCAAAACCCAGCAAGGGAGAGGCCCGGGUCUGGAAGGGCAGGAAGGGGGCAGCUUCCCCACCCCUCUCCUUUACUCAGUUCUGGACCCUACCUGGAGCUUUGCCGGCAGACGGGGUGAGCGGCUGUCCAAGGCUUUCCCCUGGACAAGUGCCCCCGCCCACUCCUGCUCCUGGACCCUAUGUAGCUCCAGUGGCCACAGGAUCCCCCUGGCAUGUCUACCAGCCGACUGGGGGUGGGAGACACGGAGCAAACAGAGGGAGCUUCCCUGGCCGCUGGCCACAGCGGAGCUGCAGACCUUCCUUUCUCAACAGCCCCCCAUCCCCCAGAAGCAUCUGCCCCUGACUAGUCCCUGUUGGAGGGUCACACUUGAUCACCUAGAGUCCGUCCAGAAGGGUGGCCUCGGAUGCACCUUGCAAAGGACAUUUCAACCACGAUCUCCUACUCCCCCUUACACACCAACAACACCCAUAACCCCUCCUGCUUCCGACCCAACCUGCUUCCCUACCCCUCACCGACCACCCAAAGCCCCCUCCCACCCCACCCCCACCAUUUCAGGCGAAUGACAGCGUCACCAAGCGGCCCUCUGCCAGUGCUGCCGCAGAGCCUCCGCCAGGCACUGGGACCCGAAACCGAGGGGCAUCGGUGCGGACAACUCCUCGCUCGGACACCGGGACAGCCCUCACCAAUACCUUGUACUCCCCGGAGCCCUGGCCCUGGCCUCACCUGGCUGCCACCCCACAGGAGAAAACCACCCACUCAGGCCACCCUCCUCGUGGCCAGCCUGCACUUGGAGAGACCUACCUGGCAGGCAGCGCUUGAUCAAAGACCCCUCACCAAAGCCACAACACCUAAGACUCCUGAAGAAGGGGGUUUCACCAGCACCCAAGCCGGACCUGGGUCAGUAAACAAAUAUGCCUGAAGACACCGCACAGAGACACUCUUUGUCUGGUGUCGGCAUUCAAGGAAACGCAGCUUCGUGCCAUCACGGCCCCAGAGUGGCGGCCUCAGACCUUCCUGACCCGACCCCUCCCACAGGCAGCAGGACAGCGGGCAGCAUCCACGAGGGGGUUUUCGGGGCGAGUCUGCUCCCCACAAGGGUGCCCUUGUUCUCACAGAGGCCCGGCAGCCUCCGCGGGAGAUGGGAGUACUCGCUGCUUGCUGUGCAAGGUGUUAGACGCGAUCUGCACAGCAGCCCCUCUUUCCCUCGCCGCGGCGGGCGGUGUAGGCGCUGACAUUAAUGCCCGCGGUCACUCGGCGGGAAGUGGCUGAGCAGUGCUGGCCUCCGGCUCCCCCCCGCCUCUCCCACUGCGAGACCUCCCCCCACGCCAGCCCCGGGGUGGGGGGGCGUCCUGAGCAGGAUGGGGACGCGGAAGCAGGGGCAGGGGCAGGCACGCCCUGCCGCCCAGCAAGCUGCAGACGGCCGGCCCGCUGCCUGGGGAGGACGGUCCCCCCCCCCCCCCCCACCGGCUGAGUCAGGGGCCGCCUACCGCCCAGGCACCUCCACCCGGCUCGCCAGCCCAGCUGGCAGGCACAGCUGGGGAGGGGGCUGCGGAUCUGGAUGGGACACAGUUCACCGUGAGUGACAGAAAAACGGCAUUAUUUCUUAGCAUAAGAGUAUCUGGCCCAAAGGAACUGAAACGAAAGCAAGGACUGGAACAGAAUCUCGCACGCCCCUGCGCACAGCGGCUGCCUCACAACAGCCGAAGGUGAAAACAACCCGUGUCCGUCCACGGAGAAGUGGGUCACAAAACGUGGCAGAGCCACAGGACGGAAUAUUAUUCAGCCUCAACAAGUAACGAAGUGCGACACCUGCUACGACGUGGAGGCACCCGACCUUGCCAACGCCGUGCGGAGUGAAAGAAACCAGACUUGAAGCAACAAAUACCGUGUGACUCCCUGUACGCGGAGGCCCCCACGGUCGUCAGAGUCACAGUGACAGAGCGGAAGGUGGGCGCCGGGGCCAGGGCGGGGCUGGGGAGUCCGUGUCCCCUGGGGAGAGAGGUCCAGUGGGGGAAGAUGAGAAAAUUCUGGAGACGGAUGGUGUGGACGGUGCGUAUGUGUUUAAUGACCCUGACCUGUACACAAAAAUGGUUAAAAUGCUAAAUCUUUUCAUGCGUAUUUUAUCACCAAAAAAGCAAGACCCCCCCACCCCCCACUACCUGCAACGUACGUACG
Acinonyx jubatus (cheetah) is the source of this 3148-nucleotide RNA transcript. It is a transcript of the gene named translation initiation factor IF-2-like, with no coding region annotated. The record is from RefSeq and is a predicted model, not a curated record. NCBI's taxonomy places the organism in Eukaryota, Metazoa, Chordata, Mammalia, Carnivora, Felidae. The transcript has 3 exons.